This 434-nucleotide ribosomal RNA is filed under the name uncultured Georgenia sp. Its description in RNAcentral is "bacterial SSU rRNA". It matches the Rfam family "Bacterial small subunit ribosomal RNA", at positions 354 to 796 of the family's 1533-position model. The record is from RNAcentral. Lineage: Bacteria; Bacillati; Actinomycetota; Actinomycetes; Allobogoriellales; Allobogoriellaceae.
GUGGGGAAUAUUGCACAAUGGGCGCAAGCCUGAUGCAGCGACGCCGCGUGAGGGAUGACGGCCUUCGGGUUGUAAACCUCUUUCAGUAGGGAAGAAGCCGCUUGCGGUGACGGUACCUGCAGAAGAAGCGCCGGCUAACUACGUGCCAGCAGCCGCGGUAAUACGUAGGGCGCAAGCGUUGUCCGGAAUUAUUGGGCGUAAAGAGCUCGUAGGCGGUUUGUCGCGUCUGCUGUGAAAACGCGAGGCUUAACCUCGCGCCUGCAGUGGGUACGGGCAGGCUAGAGUGCGGUAGGGGAGACUGGAAUUCCUGGUGUAGCGGUGGAAUGCGCAGAUAUCAGGAGGAACACCGAUGGCGAAGGCAGGUCUCUGGGCCGUUACUGACGCUGAGGAGCGAAAGCAUGGGGAGCGAACAGGAUUAGAAACCCUUGUAGUCC